UGUAGGAUUCGAAUUUCGAACCCAUGAUUUUCUAUUUAAGUACUGUAUGUCUGACACACGGCUACCAGAGAAUAGCAUAUAAAUAAAAAUAAAGACUUGCUUGCAUUAACAAACGGCAGUAAGCAGCUCAGAUUGCAAUAAACAUGAAUAUGUAAAUAAAUUGAGAAAUUUUAGUUGCCGUAUUUGUAAUAAUAAUUUUUAAGAAUUUUCUUAAAGAAUUGCCAAAGUGUAUCAACUAUAACGCCCACAGCAAUGAACUGGUCUGCAUAUAAGGACUUCUGGGUAUGCAUUUAUAGCCGAACCACCAAAACCAUUUCACCAGUUAUAUAGCCUUUUUUAUUUUUCUGCUAAAUUCUAAAAUAAAUAAUUGUCAAACAAAUCUACAUAAAGUUUAUAAACAAAUUGCAUACAAUAACUAUUAGAAAAAUUAUUUUUAUUAACAUCGACAAAUAAUUUACUUCAAAUACUUUUUCAUGCCUAAAAAUACAGCACUGCAUAUUUAAAAGUCACCAUUUGCACUGAUAACCUAACAGCGCCACCGCAUGGUGAAUACACAAAAACAACCACAAGUACGCUGUACACUUAUUGCUUAUUAGCGAGCUACAAACAUAUGGCUCGUUGGUCUAGAGGUAUGAUUCUCGCUUCGGGUGCGAGAGGUCCCGGGUUCAAUUCCCGGACGAGCCCAUUGACGACGUGCAGCAUAGCUGCACGUACCGUUCAAAAUUUUUGGUUUUUUUUCUUUAACUAAAAAUUAUUCAAGUAUUUUAUUCAUUUUCGCUAAGCAUGUUCGCUUGUUGAAUGCGGAAGAAAUUGUCUAUUUCAAUUUUAAUAUUUUAAGUGAAUUACAAAAAUGCUAUGAGUUGCUAAUGUAUGUAUGUUUGUAUGUGGAAACAUAAGCAUAAAUUAACAAAAGAAAAUAAAAAGUCAAAUAAAAACGGGAAAUAACACGAAAGCGUUAAUGCUGAUGACUAAUAUAUAUGUAUGUACAUAUAUUAUACAUACAUAUACAUAUAUUAUACAUAUUUCAAUUAUUUUUUUUUUGCUGGCGUUAUCUGACCCUUGUUUUAACUGCAUGGCAAUAUGUACUAUUUUUUAUUCUUUUUAAAUGGCGAUAUGAAAUUGUUUACAAAUAAAACUAAAAUAUGUGCAAAUGCUUGUACUUUUUCUCGGAAUUAUUGUGCUUGUGGAAAGACCGGCUAUCAGAAAUUUGCUGAUUACUACACGCUGAUUUCUCGUAAGAACUAAAGCCGCUUGACAUUGAAUAUUGACUUCCAUUUAUUGGCACGCUAACGCUGCAGCACUUAACGACAGCAUGUGCGCGGCCGUUGGACUCUGACGUGUCCAGCCAAAUUAACCCGUGCUUUAGCAACUGCAAGACAGGGUAAAUAUCGGAGUGUAGGACAAGGUAACACAGCGUAAUUAGCUGUUUAGUUGUGCACAAGCAGUCGAAAAAUAAAUGAAAAAAACUGGAAAAUUUGUUUUUCUUUUUGGACAGCAACACGAAAAAGCGAAAGGCAAAAUCAAAUCGAAAAUCAAUGGAAAAUGUAAAUGAAGGUGUAUAAAAUAAACAGUGAAUAAUUUAAUACAAAAAACGAAUUAGGAAAAAAACCGAUGACUGAACGUAGUGGAAAAAAAAUUAAAAAAAAAAUAAAAAAAAAAAUAUAUUUAAAAAAAAAUUUAAAAUAAAAUAAAAAAAAAAUAAAAAAAAAUAUAUUUAAAGAAAAAUUUAAAAUAAAACCACACAAACCGUUGCGGAAGUAAGACGGAAAAUAAAAUAGCCAACAAAGCGGCCAACAAUACUAUUUUGUUUUUGUUUUCUUUCAUUUUUAUGUUCUUUUUUUAGAAUAAAUAAAAAUUAUUAAUAUAUAUUGAAUAAACUAUUUUUUGUUUUUGUUUUGUUAAAUCAUAUUUAGCAUUAGAGUUUUGUUUUUGUUUUUUUUUUUUACUGUUGCUUUCCAUUAUUACUAGCGUUUCGGCAAUUAGAGAAGAGUGAAUUAUGUAUGCUAUAUAGGCCGCUGGCGUUUGCACUUACGCCAC
This is a long non-coding RNA of Zeugodacus cucurbitae (melon fly), 2037 nucleotides long. RefSeq lists it as uncharacterized. The record is from RefSeq and is a predicted model, not a curated record. The transcript is spliced from 2 exons. NCBI's taxonomy places the organism in Eukaryota, Metazoa, Arthropoda, Insecta, Diptera, Tephritidae.